This 492-nucleotide ribosomal RNA is filed under the name uncultured bacterium. RNAcentral describes it as "partial 16S ribosomal RNA". It matches the Rfam family "Bacterial small subunit ribosomal RNA", at positions 29 to 507 of the family's 1533-position model. The record is from RNAcentral.
AGUGAACGCUGGCGGUAGGCCUAAUACAUGCAAGUCGAACGGCAGCACAGUAAGAGCUUGCUCUUACGGGUGGCGAGUGACGGACGGGUGAGGAAUACAUCGGCAUCUACUUUUUCGUGGGGGAUAACGUAGGGAAACUUACGCUAAUACCGCAUACGACCUACGGGUUAAAGCAGGAGAUAUUCGCACCUUGCGCGAUUGUAUGAGCCGAUGUCGGAUUAGCUAGUUGGCGUGGUAAAGGCCCACCAAGGCAACGAUACGUAGCUGAGCUGAGAGGAUGAUCAGCCACACUGGAACUGAGACACGGUCCAGACUCCUACGGGAGGCAGCAGUGGGGAAUAUUGCACAAAGGGCGCAAGCCUGAUCCAGCCAUACCGCGUGAGUGAUGAAGGCCUUCGGGUUGUAAAGCCCUUUUGUUAGGAAAGAAAAACAGCAUGAGAAUCCCCCCCUGUUCUGACGGUACCCAAAGAGCAAGCAACGGCUAACUUCGUG